UGGGGAAUCUUGCGCAAUGGGCGAAAGCCUGACGCAGCGACGCCGCGUGAGUGAUGAAGGCCUUCGGGUUGUAAAGCUCUGUGGGGAGAGAAGAAUAAGUGCGGGCUAAUACCCCGCAUGAUGACGGUAUCUCCUUAGCAAGCACCGGCUAACUCUGUGCCAGCAGCCGCGGUAAGACAGAGGGUGCAAACGUUGUUCGGAAUUACUGGGCGUAAAGCGAGUGUAGGCGGUUUGGUAAGUCGGAUGUGAAAGCCCCGGGCUCAACCCGGGAAGUGCAUUCGAUACUGCCAAGCUAGAGUAUCGGAGAGGUUGGUGGAAUUCUCGGUGUAGAGGUGAAAUUCGUAGAUAUCGAGAGGAACACCGGUGGCGAAGGCGGCCAACUGGACGAAUACUGACGCUGAGACUCGAAAGCGUGGGGAGCAAACAGGAUUAGAUACCCGCGUAGUCCCUGAGCGGGCUGGCAAGGCGCAU
RNAcentral lists this ribosomal RNA (471 nucleotides) under uncultured bacterium. Its description in RNAcentral is "bacterial SSU rRNA". It matches the Rfam family "Bacterial small subunit ribosomal RNA", at positions 355 to 825 of the family's 1533-position model. The record is from RNAcentral.